This 508-nucleotide ribosomal RNA is filed under the name uncultured bacterium. RNAcentral's name for it is "bacterial SSU rRNA". It matches the Rfam family "Bacterial small subunit ribosomal RNA", at positions 8 to 526 of the family's 1533-position model. The record is from RNAcentral.
AGAGUUUGAUCCUGGCUCAGGAUGAACGCUGGCGGCGUGCCUAAUACAUGCAAGUCGAACGAGGUGCUUUUGUAGCAAUACGAGAGUAUCCUAGUGGCGAACGGGUGAGUAACGCGUUGGUGACCUACCCCAAAGUGUGGGAUAACAGUCCGAAAGGAUUGCUAAUACCGCAUGUGGUCAUUGGAUUUAGAAACUGAUGACUAAAGGAGCAAUUCGCUUUGGGAGGGACCUGCGUCCCAUCAGCUAGUUGGUGAGGUAACGGCUCACCAAGGCGACGACGGGUAGGGGACCUGAGAGGGUGACCCCCCACAAUGGAACUGAAACACGGUCCAUACACCUACGGGUGGCAGCAGUAGGGAAUAUUGCACAAUGGGCGAAAGCCUGAUGCAGCAACGCCGCGUGUGUGAUGAAGGCCUUCGGGUCGUAAAGCACUUUUCUGGGAGAUGAGAAAGGACAGUAUCCCAGGAAUAAGUCUCGGCUAACUACGUGCCAGCAGCCGCGGUAAUAC